Molecule: long non-coding RNA, 141 nt
Organism: Bombus impatiens (common eastern bumble bee)
Lineage: Eukaryota; Metazoa; Arthropoda; Insecta; Hymenoptera; Apidae
Exons: 2
Source: RefSeq, a predicted model, not a curated record
AGAAUCUGUACCUCUGGUUGACUAAAAAAAAGAAAGGCAAGGAUAAUUUAAUACUAGUAGGAGAGAUAAUACAGAUUAUUAUCAGAUUAGAUUAGAUUAAAACUCUAAUUCAAAGUAACAUUUCCCAUGAAACGAUAUUUU